ACCUGGCUUGGGGGCGCCUCGCCGCGUGCCUCAGUUUACCGCCACAUGCCAGCUGCCGCGGAGAGCCCCUUCCUCCCUGGCUCGGAACGCCCACCCCACCCCCAGCAACUGGCCAAAGCGGGAGGCAGCGAGGGAGCGGCCUCCGGUCCUAGGAGGGGAGAGCGGCCCCCGCUGCCGCCUCCCCUGGCCCCCGCCACCCGCCGUUGAUAUGGCAACCGACGGCCGCCAGGGGGCGCGGCGACACUGGAGGCGGCGAAGGAGCAACGCCUGGACCUUCCAGUGCUGGACGCCCUGUUCUCUGGGAGGCAGAGGUGAAACCCACCGACCCCGGUCCCCGCCGAACUGCACCGAGCCUCGGGUUAGUAAUCACAGAAACUGGCAGCAUUUACUCAGCACCCCUGUGUGCUCACGAAGUGCUAGGCGUUCCUGCUGGCUCCUGAAUCAACAGCCUCAGUCAGGAUCACUAACCCAUUUUACAGAAGAGGACAUUGAGGCUCAGAGAGGUGAGGUCAUUUGCUCAAGGUCGCCCAGUAACAAAGCUGGGACUUGAACCUGUCUGUCUGAAGAGGAUUCUCCUAACUCAGGCUAUUUACAGUCUCUCCAGGAGUAUAGCAGUGGUGCUAUUUGAGGCCUGCUGUCCUACCGGGCACCCAAGCCCACCAUCCAGCCCUAUGCCGCCUUCCCUGCCCCAGCGUCUUUCUCAUAUCUUCCUGCCUCCAGGUGCCUCCCAGUUCUUCCUCCAGCUCCACUCAACGACCAGCCCACAGCAAAGCUGUCUUCUGCCUCCUUCGUACCCCUGCCGGCUGCUCCCCUUUUCCAGCCCUCUGCCCAUCGAUCACCUGAGCCCUGGCCUCCCAGCCUGGCCUCUUCAUCUGCCCCUCUCACAGCACUCACCAGAUCAUUCUGAAGUAGAGUCUGCAUGUAUUUCCCUCCACUGUCUUCAGGAAAAACAAAUUGUGACAUUUGAGGGUCUUUCCAGCCUCCCUCCUAGGCUGUGGCCAGAAAAAUCUCCUCACUGUUUCCUACCUCCCCAGAACCAUCUCUACCUGCAGAAAACCGUUCGGCUCUUACCCCACAUGCUUGGCCUUGAAGCCUCCUCAUAGGAGGAGGAGGCAGGAAUGAAUGGGUCUAGUUAUCCUGGUGUCCCAGGAGACCCUGCUCUGGGGGAGGGCCCUGCCAGGGAGUGCCUUGAGGGUCAGGUGAGGAGCGGGGGGUCCUCUCCUGAGAGCAGUAUGGAGCCAGCGAGGCUUUUAGGCAGUCAAGUGACAUAUCAGGGAGUGAUCUGGGGUCAGCUUCAUGGUACAUUAUUAGAAGCAGGGAGGCCAUUGGCUAAAUUGGGGGUAGUGAAGGCAAGGAGGGAGAAAAUAAUAAUUGUAGUAAUUACAAUUUAUUGAGGGAAAAAUAAAUGGUCCAAGCCAUGUACUUAACACUU
Pteropus alecto (black flying fox) is the source of this 1432-nucleotide long non-coding RNA. RefSeq lists it as uncharacterized. The transcript is spliced from 2 exons. The record is from RefSeq and is a predicted model, not a curated record. Lineage: Eukaryota; Metazoa; Chordata; Mammalia; Chiroptera; Pteropodidae.